Molecule: long non-coding RNA, 1922 nt
Organism: Felis catus (domestic cat)
Lineage: Eukaryota; Metazoa; Chordata; Mammalia; Carnivora; Felidae
Exons: 2
Source: RefSeq, a predicted model, not a curated record
CGUCACCACCCAUUUCUGGGACGGGGAAGUGACCAGAGAGGUCACACAGAAGAGCGGGACAGUGAGCCCCAUCCCGUCAGCCAGGCCAAGGGGCUCCAGACCGUCUGCACCGAGACGAGCGGCCACUGCGAGGCUGGAGGUGACCUCGACGUGUUACUGCGGCAGCAAGGGGGCGAGCAGUGGCGAGACUGACAAUGACACGCUUCCUGUUUGGAUCCCAGGCUCCGACGCAGACAUCAGAAGGGUGACACCGUCCACACACCAGCAUGGGGGUGGCCAGCCGCCCUGUCACCCUUCUGGGAAGCCCCGCCCAAGUGGGCAUCUUCAUCCACGCUCAUCUGGCUUCGUGGAGAGUCCGUGUGCACAUCUGGCCUUGGCCUGACUCCUGCCUGUCCCGCCCUGUCCCCAGCUCCUUCCUCUCCCCCGACUCCGAUUCUCCUGCGGUCUGCCUUUCCCCAUUUCCCGCCCCCACACCCCGAUUUUCCACACCCCGUUAUUGUGCGGCUGAGGCUACCACGGCAUCCACCCGGUCUCCACAGGCCAGGGGAGACAGUGUGCAGGCAGGAGCGAACCACGGUGGUUCUGGGGCAGGUCUCCUAGUGCGUCCCAGAGCUGCCCCUGGGGCGGCAUGGGGACUUCUGGAACAUUCUUUCCACUGUACACCUGCUCCAGAAGCGCAUCCCGUGGGGAGCCUGGAAGUCCUCAGAGAGGAGCAGCCUUGACCCUGCCCAUAGCUUUUUAUGAUUGGCUGAGCCGUCGUGCCAAUCUUGCGCCACUAGCCCGGUGAUUGGUCUAGGACAUCAUGUGACCCAAGCCUGGCCAACGAACUGCGAGGGGCUGCCUGCAGGGGGAAUCAUGGGAAAGAUUCCCCUGCUGGAUGGGAGGGGAGGCGCCGCGUGCCUUGGGUUCCCCCCGUGACGCGGUGGGGGGAGGGGCGUGCUGCCGGUGUCGCUGCGGCCUUUUGGACGCAGAGCAGGAGGCCUGAGGCUUGCCGGGGACUGAGGCGUGUCCGGCAAACAUGAGCAGGGCGGCAGAGCCAGACCCCCGCGGCCACCCGCCUCCAGGAUGCCCGGCUCGGACGGUGGAGCUGUUCCGUGGCCCACACGGGGAGACUGAGGCUGGCAGAGAGAGAGAAGCGACCCAAACCCAGGCUUCUCCGACUCCAGAGUCACGGGGCUCCUGUAGCUGAGGACGGUCCCUUGUAGCACUUGUCAGACUGUGGCCCGUGUCCACGCCCUCAACUGAGCCUCCUGAAAUCCUUGCCUGUCGGUGGUCCUGCUUCCCGGAACCUCGUGUGCUCCGCGCACGAUCGGAGGAAACCCGGGAAGUCAGGCUCCUCCCUCCGCUUCCGGAUGCGCGGACACGUGGUUUGUCCUGUGACUCCGGAUCUGUGCUCAGCAAGGAAAAGGAGAUGAGAAAACGUUUGCAAAGCACCUCCUCCUGUAGCGGGCGCCGUUGUGUGUCCUUACUCAGCAGGGACCCAUUUAGUCUUUGGGAACCGCGGGACGCUUGGGAUUCUAAUGCAUCUGGACGGGGUCAGAAGAGGUGCAGGCUGUGUGCCCCCCCCCCCCCCCAGGACCUCUGCUGAUAGGGUUUCCCUGAAUCUGGCAGAGAACCACCGUCACCUCUGCCGGGCUGGAGGGCAAGGUGCCGCUGCGGCAGGGCCUCCCUGGAGGGCCGCACGGUGCCCCCCAUGCGACAGGCUGCUGAGCCCAGAGAUGUUCUGCAGACGGAGGUUUGCCGUGACAGCUCCUAGAAACCACGGCAGCUCCUUCCCAAGUUACUAGAGCUGCAAACCGAGGUAAAGGUGGGAUUUGUGUGAGGCUUUCGAUCAUAGAAACACAAAUGGCACCUUGGUCUCAAAGUAACGACUCUCUGAAUUCUAAAUAAAAUGCAGGAGAUUCACAUUUUCCCCCCUGCGC